Long non-coding RNA from Grus americana (Whooping crane), 2660 nucleotides. RefSeq lists it as uncharacterized. The record is from RefSeq and is a predicted model, not a curated record. The transcript is spliced from 2 exons. NCBI's taxonomy places the organism in Eukaryota, Metazoa, Chordata, Aves, Gruiformes, Gruidae.
CAGGUCGGUGCCGAGCUGGGUGAAGCCGGAGUUGAGGCAGCCACGGGCUAUGCGCCUCCAGAGGAGAUCGCGGCUACUGAGGAAGCGCAGGCGGCGGCAAACCUGGCCCAGGCGGCCCAAGGCCUGCGCGUCCAGGAGCCUGGAGUACUGACAACGCAGAAGGAUUCUGGUCCAAAAUGGCAAAGUAGCCCUCCACGGACAGUGGAGCAGGAAAAUGAGUCUGGUGUUGUGUUAUUCUUUCUUAUAGUACUUUGUACUCUACAGAAGCCUGAAAUGUUUGGGAAAUUUUCUCACUCAAAAUUGAAAACUAGAUAAAUAGUAAGAAGUUCAUCAUCAGCCUAGAAUGCUUUGAACAGGUAUCACUUACUCACUGCAUCUCCUUUUGCACAGUGAAGUAGGAAAAUAAAUUUCAGCAUAUAAUGAGGUUACCAUAGCAUACAGGCCUUUAGACAGUACUGGCAUCCUGUUCCAGAAGGUCAUCUUGUCUGUGUAAUUUCAAGCACUCAAAUAUUCAUAUGACUAAAUCACCAACUCUGGAAGCCUCUUAUUUGAGAGGUUCAGAACCGCUGGCUGAGGAACUGCCUGGUCCAUUUACACUGAGUUUCAAUACACCCUGGAAGUCAGGGAAGUUCCAGAAGGCAGCAAAUGUUUUAAUAGCAUUUAUGAGUGAAUCAGAUGGCCCAAGUAAUUAAAAAUUUCUCAACCUAAGUUUUAGCUCAGGUGAAAUAACAGCACAUCUGGUACAGGGCUUAUAUAGCAAACUGAAAGGGAGGUAAUAUAACAAUUUUUGCUUAACAUGAGAUCAUGGAAGCUUGGUGUGAAUGCAGUUUUAUAUCAACUCACUAUCUUUUUGAUGACAUAAAACUUAGCUCUUUUGUAAUAGACUUCAGCAAUGUCUGAAACAUUAAAUUUAUUAAAAGCUGAAUGACUCCUCAGUCUUAAAUUGUUACUGUGAAGACAGAUUUAUUAUCAAGUUGCUCUUUCUCUAGUAGGAUCCUACAGAGACAGCUUAUGGAACAUACACUAUUUAAUUUUACUAGCAACCUGAAAACUUCUGAAAUCAUUAUUAGCAAAGCUUUGUAGAAGGUGCAAAGCAUGGGGCAAGCAAGAGGCAAAGGGUGAUUAUGGCUGCAUAACCUUACGUUAAGUUUAUGCAUAAUCAGAUUGUAAGUAUUUCAAUCAAGCCAAAUGUGAAGUCUUACAUCUAGGAACAAAGAAUGUAGGUCACACUGAAAGGAUGUAACUCUAUCCUGCAAAGCUGCAAUUCCGUAAAGACUUCAUUAAGAUGAAUAAUCAGCUGAACGUGAGCUCCUUCUGCAGUGCUGUGACCAAAGGGCUAGUGCUGUCCUGGGAAACAAACAAGAGCCGUGAGGUCCUUUUACCUCUGUUUUUCACUGUUGUGACUGCUUUGGAAAUAAUUUGUCCAGCCAAUAUUUCAAGAAGGAUGUUGAAAAACUAGAGGGGUUUCAAAGAAGAGUAGUAAGAAUGAUUACAGGACUGUCAAACAUGUUUUAUAGUGAGACCCAAAGUGCUCAGUCUAUUUGGCUUUCUAAAGAGAAGGUUAAGGUGUGAGGUGAUCAUACCUUAUGAGCACUGAAACAGGAAGAAAAAUCUGGUAAUGCCAGGAUCUUCUAUUUAGCAGACAAAGAGAUAAGAUCUCUUGACAGAAGGUGGUGGGAAACAAAUUAAUAAAUAAAGCAUGCUUUUGUAGUGAAGAAAAUUAACUGUUGAAGCAGUUUACCAAGAUUUAUGGUAGAUUCACCAUUACUGGACUUUUUAAAAAACAAUACCAGUUGGGUUUUUUUCUCCCUUAGAGAGAGAGCCAGGCUAGACCACAACUACUAAAACUUAACCCAGGAACUGACCUGGCAAGUCCUAACUCAGGAUAUCAGAGUAAGAUGUUCAAAGGGGUCUUUUCUGGUCUUAGGCUCUGUUACAUCUGCGUCGUGCAUGUCUCCCUGCACUGUGUGACACCCAUAUUCCAGUGUACAGUAGUCUCCAUUCUGUGGCCGUGCCACUUCACCAAAGAAACUACUCGGUGCAGUCCAGAAGGAGCCUGGGUGCAAAGUAACAUGUAGAGUGUGACCCUCUGGGAUACCAGGACCAAGGUAUGGACAAGUACAUCUGUAGAAGCAGGGCCUCAGUGCUCUCCAAUUUGUGACCCAAGGUAUAAACAACUAUGAAAUAUUUGGCUAAGAUAAAACGUGUUUGUAUGCAGUAAUCGUGGAGGGAGUCAAAUAUGCUCCAGACAGGGGACACAGUAAUAUGAAGAAAAAAUUAUGGUAUGUUGCUCUUAAAUGUAGCAUUGUUUUCUAGUAUGGAUAAUUGCCUUACAACAUAGUAGCAAUAAUUAUUCUUUGCCCAAAACAUAGAUAUCAUCUAUCUUUGUUUUUUUAAGAGAAAUGGACCUGCAGCUGCAUACACUUGUUCUCAGGCAUGAUUUCAGCCACUGUGACUGCCGUGGAGCUGUCAAAGCUGCACAUCACAGGCUGGGAACCCAAUGGCACUAGUCUUCCCAGCAAUGCCCAAGUAUGUGUCUGCAGGAGCAAGAGCCAAGGAAGAUUCUGAGCCAUUACUAAAACUGUAUGUGUAGCAUAAUUAUUUCCAUUACAUUGUUCAUACUCUAAUAAAGGACUUGGUGCACGUGCUCAUGUGCAGCA